UGCAAACAGGAGGCGCAAAGAAAGGGAAAAAAACCGAAGCAUGAGUCGGAUGUCAUUUGCGGACGGCAGGAAUCCAGUGAGUACUUGUUGCGAGCCAUACGGCGGCGGCAGCGUCCCGAAGCUGUCAAAUAUUGCGCACAGCCUCCAGUCGUCAGUCAGUGGAGUAACCCAGACUAAUCCAUCAGACAAACAACUCGAAAGAUUAACCUUUUUUUCUUCUAACGAGUUUUUCCCGCUGUGAUCGGAAGCUUCUUCUAAAAUCUUGAUACGUUUUUUUUCUUUUUUCUUUUGUCACAUGGCUUUGAAGAAUUCAAUAACAACAAAAAAUGGCGACAAUCACGUUGCUCUGUGUGGUCUUGCUGCGUCAUUAAAAAUAUUCAUGUAAACACGGGGAAUUAAACGAGUGGGUUGCAGUGCAGGAGGGCGGACCGAAGACGAAGGGAGGCGGGGUCGCGACGUGGGCCAGCGCCGCGCACCGACUGCUCCAGAUGCGUCUCGCGCCAGGAAGGGGUGGAGCCCGAGACGAGAAUCAUAACAAGUCUGACGUCACUCAGCCUUGUGGUUGGUAUGAAUAAUACACAGAAGUUUGUCUGUGGCCCCUGCAGGAGUAGAGAGAAGUAGGGAGAGGGGGGG
Molecule: long non-coding RNA, 633 nt
Organism: Poecilia latipinna (sailfin molly)
Lineage: Eukaryota; Metazoa; Chordata; Actinopteri; Cyprinodontiformes; Poeciliidae
Exons: 2
Source: RefSeq, a predicted model, not a curated record